Molecule: ribosomal RNA, 427 nt
Filed under: uncultured bacterium
Lineage: Bacteria
Description: partial 16S ribosomal RNA
Rfam family: Bacterial small subunit ribosomal RNA
Source: RNAcentral
UGGGGAAUAUUGCACAAUGGGCGCAAGCCUGAUGCAGCCAUGCCGCGUGUAUGAAGAAGGCCUUCGGGUUGUAAAGUACUUUCAGCGGGGAGGAAGGUGUUGUGGUUAAUAACCUCAGCAAUUGACGUUACCCGCAGAAGAAGCACCGGCUAACUCCGUGCCAGCAGCCGCGGUAAUACGGAGGGUGCAAGCGUUAAUCGGAAUUACUGGGCGUAAAGCGCACGCAGGCGGUCUGUCAAGUCGGAUGUGAAAUCCCCGGGCUCAACCUGGGAACUGCAUUCGAAACUGGCAGGCUAGAGUCUUGUAGAGGGGGGUAGAAUUCCAGGUGUAGCGGUGAAAUGCGUAGAGAUCUGGAGGAAUACCGGUGGCGAAGGCGGCCCCCUGGACAAAGACUGACGCUCAGGUGCGAAAGCGUGGGGAGCAAACA